This 253-nucleotide ribosomal RNA is filed under the name uncultured bacterium. Its description in RNAcentral is "partial 16S ribosomal RNA". It matches the Rfam family "Bacterial small subunit ribosomal RNA", at positions 524 to 776 of the family's 1533-position model. The record is from RNAcentral.
UACGUAGGGCGCAAGCGUUGUCCGGAAUUAUUGGGCGUAAAGAGCUCGUAGGCGGUUUGUCGCGUCUGCUGUGAAAACCUGAGGCUCAACCUCGGGCUUGCAGUGGGUACGGGCAGACUAGAGUGCGGUAGGGGUGACUGGAAUUCCUGGUGUAGCGGUGGAAUGCGCAGAUAUCCGGAGGAACACCGAUGGCGAAGGCAGGUCACUGGGCCGCAACUGACGCUGAGGAGCGAAAGCAUGGGGAGCGAACAGG